AUUUGGAAACUUUUGGUUGAAAAUAGAUUGCUUCAAAGAAAGGGUAAUUGAAUGGUGGAAACUGGCACCUUCAUCGAAGGAUGCCGCUACAAAUAUCUUAGGAAAACAUAUAUUUCUGAAGAGCAGACUCAAACAAUGGAACAAAGCUACAAAUGGAAAUGUUAUCAAGAGGAGAAAAAACAUCAAGGAAAGAAUUCAAUUCCUAGGUGGCAAAGAAGAAAAUGGCCC
RNAcentral lists this long non-coding RNA (228 nucleotides) under Elaeis guineensis (African oil palm). RNAcentral describes it as "long non-coding RNA (EGUI_LNC005881)". The record is from RNAcentral. Lineage: Eukaryota; Viridiplantae; Streptophyta; Magnoliopsida; Arecales; Arecaceae.